Mauremys reevesii (Reeves's turtle) is the source of this 979-nucleotide long non-coding RNA. RefSeq lists it as uncharacterized. The record is from RefSeq and is a predicted model, not a curated record. The transcript has 7 exons. NCBI's taxonomy places the organism in Eukaryota, Metazoa, Chordata, Testudines, Geoemydidae.
AGCAACAACUGAGCUCUGGCUGUUUAAUGCUUCUGCUAGCUGUAGCUAUGAUUGCGCCUGGAUCUGCUGUGCCUCUAGCCCUGUCCUUACCUUCUUGCUGGCUUCUUCGAUCUGAUUACUGGCUUCCUGACAGUGGCUCCUGCUUGGACUACUAGGCAUGAUUGCCUGCAUUCCAGUUUGACACUAUUGAUUUGGAUGGGGGGGAAGUGAAGAAAGAUUGCGAUUGUCCAAGGAUGUCAACUGAGUCUGACACAGCAGGGACUUGCCUAGAUCCUGGCUGUGAUGGGAUGGAUUCCCAUCUGUGCAGCAUGUACAACUGGCGGUAUGCAAGCUUGAUGAUCCAUCAAUUCACUUCACACAGUUUUUUAAGAUGAUGAUACAUGAACCAAUACAGCUUGAGAACUGUUUGCUCUAAAAAAUGAAAGAGGAGAGUCUCUCUUACCUGCUAACUAGUGGGAAGCACCUUGUCUCCAUUGAUCUUGGAGAUUGUGAGGCUCAAGGCAGAUCUUCAGGAACUCCGAGAGCCAUGAUGGAACAGAAAAGCCUGAUAGUUUUGACGCCACAAAGGGAGAAGUGACAGAGGCUACAUGGAGUCAACUAGGGACUUUGCUAUUGAUUUUAUGUGGAGGGUGCUCAAGCGUUUCAGUGAUGGGAACUGGUAUAAACCCCUAGGAUGGAUGGACAGAAUAGAUUGAGGAACUUCCAUACAGACCAGUUUUAAAAGCCACAGAUUCCUCCUGUGUAGACUGGUGCUUCUGGAGCAGAGCCACAAGCAUAGACCAAUUGGAUCCCAUCAUCUUGAAGACCAGCAGUGACUCCAUAACUUUUGCAUGAAGAAGCAGAUGUUCCUGGAGGUUUAUGAUGAGCUUGCCCCAACCCUCCAGUGCCAUGACACCCAUUAUCGAGAGAGGGCAUGAGAUGACCUGUAUUAACGUUUGUGCCACGUUUAACAUUGCAUAUAAUAAAACUUGCAAGUGUA